Molecule: long non-coding RNA, 216 nt
Organism: Ylistrum balloti
Lineage: Eukaryota; Metazoa; Mollusca; Bivalvia; Pectinida; Pectinidae
Exons: 3
Source: RefSeq, a predicted model, not a curated record
CUUCGAUAUGUGUAGGGGAUGCUGGGAUGGGCGCUGUUGAGAAUUAGGAGAAAGUUUGCAAACUCUAUAAUGUAUUGAAGGAGAGGGAUUAGAGGAGGACAAGAGGAGGUAAACCGAUAGCCCAAAAGUGGACUGAUGAUCAUUCACGAAAAAUUUACGAUACUAUGAAACUGUUCCGAAAGUAUUGAAGCAACUUUUUCAUGUACAAAAUCAAAU